RNAcentral lists this transfer RNA (73 nucleotides) under Mycetomoellerius zeteki. RNAcentral's name for it is "Trachymyrmex zeteki tRNA". It matches the Rfam family "tRNA". Rfam says of the family: Transfer RNA (tRNA) molecules are approximately 80 nucleotides in length. Their secondary structure includes four short double-helical elements and three loops (D, anti-codon, and T loops). Further hydrogen bonds mediate the characteristic L-shaped molecular structure. tRNAs have two regions of fundamental functional importance: the anti-codon, which is responsible for specific mRNA codon recognition, and the 3' end, to which the tRNAs corresponding amino acid is attached (by aminoacyl-tRNA synthetases). tRNAs cope with the degeneracy of the genetic code in two manners: having more than one tRNA (with a specific anti-codon) for a particular amino acid; and 'wobble' base-pairing, i.e. permitting non-standard base-pairing at the 3rd anti-codon position. Lineage: Eukaryota; Metazoa; Arthropoda; Insecta; Hymenoptera; Formicidae. The record is from Rfam by way of RNAcentral.
UCCUCGGUAGUUUAAAAGUUUAGGACGCUCGUACGGAAUACAAGAUAUCCGGGUUCGACUCCAGGCCGAGGUA